Long non-coding RNA from Saccostrea cuccullata (small rock oyster), 269 nucleotides. RefSeq lists it as uncharacterized. NCBI's taxonomy places the organism in Eukaryota, Metazoa, Mollusca, Bivalvia, Ostreida, Ostreidae. The transcript has 3 exons. The record is from RefSeq and is a predicted model, not a curated record.
GAAGAUGCAGAAUCACGCACAUACUGACAAGAGACACCAUAUCUAGCCAGGAAAUAGGAGGGACAUUCAUCUGUUACUGUGAAUCCUGAGAAGAAAAAAAUAACUUGAUAAAGGAAAGGGAUUUAAACAAAGAUCAUACUUAACCUUGAGAGGAUAUGAAGGAAUUAGAACUACUUGGGGUGAAAACAGUUUUGGAGAAUGGAAAACUGGGGAUCAUCAUCCGUUGUAGAAGAACCUGAAUUUUACCCACAACCAGAGGAGCUAGACUG